RNAcentral lists this ribosomal RNA (253 nucleotides) under uncultured bacterium. RNAcentral's name for it is "partial 16S ribosomal RNA". It matches the Rfam family "Bacterial small subunit ribosomal RNA", at positions 524 to 776 of the family's 1533-position model. The record is from RNAcentral.
UACAGAGGAUGCAAGCGUUAUCCGGAAUGAUUGGGCGUAAAGCGUCUGUAGGUGGCUUUUUAAGUCCGCCGUCAAAUCCCAGGGCUCAACUCUGGACAGGCGGUGGAAACUACCAAGCUGGAGUACGGUAGGGGCAGAGGGAAUUUCCGGUGGAGCGGUGAAAUGCGUAGAGAUCGGGAAGAACAUCAGUGGCGAAGGCGGUCUGCUGGGCCGUUGCUGACGCUGAGGCGCGACAGCGUGGGGAGCAAACAGG